This 423-nucleotide ribosomal RNA is filed under the name uncultured bacterium. Its description in RNAcentral is "partial 16S ribosomal RNA". It matches the Rfam family "Bacterial small subunit ribosomal RNA", at positions 360 to 774 of the family's 1533-position model. The record is from RNAcentral.
AAUCUUCCGCAAUGGACGAAAGUCUGACGGAGCGAUGCCGCGUGAGUGAUGAAGGUCUUCGGAUCGUAAAACUCUGUUGUUAGGGAAGAACAAGUAUCGGAGUAAUAUGCCGGUACCUUGACGGUACCUAACCAGAAAGCCCCGGCUAACUACGUGCCAGCAGCCGCGGUAAUACGGAGGGGGCAAGCGUUGUCCGGAAUUAUUGGGCGUAAAGGGCACGCAGGCAGUUUCUUAAGUCUGAUGUGAAAGCCCACGGCUCAACCGUGGAGGGUCAUUGGAAACUGGGAAGCUUGAGUGCAGAAGAGGGGAGGGGAAUUCCAUGUGUAGCGGUGAAAUGCGUAGAGAUAUGGAGGAACACCAGUGGCGAAGGCGACUCUCUGGUCUGCAACUGACGCUGAGGCGCGAAAGCGUGGGGAGCGAACA